GUUGCUCUCCUUUGGACUCAACAAUCUCCACAUUGCCCCUCCACCCGCUCUCCUUCAACUUGUCAUAAUAAAACCAUCCUCUAGAUCUCAGAAAAUCAUUCUCCGCAACAAAUACCAGCAUCCUGGCGCAUCCCAGGCUCGCUAGGUCCGAACCCGCAACGAUAGGAUUAAUCCACGGAUCAUCACACCCACUUGUGCUACUUGGACAAGUCAAUCUCCACAAUCCCGCGACCCAGUCUCUUUUCUUAGCGUCAGCUGUUUCAUUACCAACAGCUUCUCUGCCCAGAAAAUACGGAUGAAUUAAAACAAUGCCAAUAACAUUAACACCAUCGAGAAUUUCUCGACCAUGUCUCAUGCCCAUGUGAUGAGCUAUGUUAGCGCCAGCACUGUCACCAGAAAAAAACACUCGCUGGAAAUCAGCGAAAUAGUUGAGCCAAUCUUCAGGGCCUUCUCCGUUAACAUGGGAAGCAACCCACUUGAGUGCAGUCCAUGAAUCAUCAUGAGCGCAAGGGACAGGAUUCUCCGGGGCUCUCCGAUAAUCAACCGAGACUGCGAUGACGUUAGCUUCAGAGACUAAGGUGUUGAGGUAAUUGUGGUAAGUGGGAGAAAAGGCGGUUUCGAUGCAAAAGCCUCCGCCAUGAAAAUAAACAAGAAGGGGAAGUUUUUGGUUUUGGUUUUGGUUUUGUCUUUGGUUUGGAAUGUAAAGCCGAGCACAUAGAUUGUUUUCUGGUGAAUACACAAUGUCUUUGGAAUGAACGUUUGUUUUGGGAUCAAAUGAUGCAGGAACGAUGUCGUUUCCUUUGAGCCUUUCUACUUUGCCAUCUUUGUAUACUUUUAUCGUGGGAGAGAGGUCUAUGGCUAUAUCUGCUGCCGGCUCUGUGGAAUACAUGGGUAGAGAAAAAGUGCAGAAAAAUAUUGACGGGCUUUGUUUGGUCUGCCGGAGAAGGAGAAAGGAUAAUGGAGCAAAAAAAUAUGUAGAGAUGAAGACAAGAUUUGGUAUGUGGAAGACAGCAAGAGUGGAUAACGUUACAAUUUAAAAAAAAAAUGAAAAAUGGACAAAAAUGGUGUCCAAACAAAUACAAUUAGGCCCAUGUAAAUCAAGACAAAUGUCACGAUUACUCAAUUCAGAAAAAAAUGAAAAAGGAGUUAUGAAGUGAAAUAUAUAAUUAAAUAAUUAACAAUAAUUGAGCAAAUUAAAAGAGUUAGUAGAGUUGAUUAUUGACACGUCACCUUGUAAUAGUUUUGUAAGUGCCAAACCACUCUCUUUCAAUUUUUUGUUUUUGUUUUUUGGCACAAGAUAAUAUGAGGAUUGGUAAGAUUUUAAUCCUUGAAUUAUCAUAACCGAAACUGUAAUUUCAAAAAUCGUAUCAGUUUUUGUUGAAGAUAGUAGAAAAUUUUGUUUGGUAAGGACUGCCUUCUUUGUGGAUUUAUCUAAAUCACGCUCUUUAUUUCUCACCAACUCUGAUUUGGCUUGGCUCCACGUCUCUUGAAUAAGUGGCAAGCAAAUUAUCCUUCUGAUCAACAACCAAAUUAUUGUAUAUUUUAUGCUUAGGCAUUACAUAUCUUGAUUGAGCAUAGCCACAGCGUUGCAUGCGGCUCUCGUUUAGACUCUGCUGUCUCCAAAUAUUUGUAUAGAUAUUUUGGACUUCAAAGAAAUUGUGGCAUUUCCAAUAUAAAAUUAUUGAUAAUUUUUUUGUUGCUCCAUCCAAUAGAAAUCACAAUUUUUGUUUUUCUUCUGAAAGACAGACAUGACGAAGUAAAUUUUCAUCUUCAUCACGUUGGCAUGCAGAAAUAUUUAUUUCUCCAUAUUUGUAUCAUAGAUUAUUGACAUUCAUACAAGUCAUAUUUAUUUAAUACUUUAAUUUUACUUAACUUAUUUUUAUUAAUUAAUAAAACAAUUAUGAAGACCGGCAGUCAACUGUGUCCGACCGCUAUCAUGAUCAUCUUUUAUCAGCAAAUCACCGGAUUAGUAGGAUAACUUGCUAAGUGAAAUGAAUGAAGUUGCUAAAAAUUGAAAGAAACAGAGCUCAUAUUGGAUCUAUUCUGAUCCGAAAUCAAAGACAAAUCGAUGGACUCCGUGAACAGUACUACUAAUACAUCAAGUUGUCUUAAUUGAUUUACGAAUGAAUCUAAUUAUUAAUACAUCAAUGAUUCCAGAAGGCCAAAACCUUUUCCGAAUUCUGAUUCCACAGAAUCCCACUUGUAUUUUGAGCCGCAAUCAACCGAUGCUUAUUUCUUCUGAGGGAAAAAAAAAAAAAAAAAGGAAAGAAAAUCACACACACACAGUAGAGUUAUAAUUACCUUAUUCAUCUUUCCUCCCAAAUAUUUGCCGAACCAAAGCAAAUAACUCUUCAGUUUCAAGGCUUAUCCUGAUUGAAGAAAGAACAAAUUUUCUUGAGCAUAGACCCAGCAUUUUCACAAGUGGGAUUGAUCAAAUGGAACACAUGUUGCUCUCCUUUAGACUCAACUAUCUCUACAUGGCCUCCCCACCCACUUUCCUUCAACUUCUCAUAGUAAAACCAUCCUCUAGGGCACAGGAAAUCCUUCUCCGCAGCAAACACCAGCACCCUGGCGCACCCCAGGCUCGCGAGGCUCGAACCGUCAGCACACGGAUUAACCCACGGAUCAUCGAGCCCGCUUGUGCUUGGACAAGUAAAUCGCCAAAAUCUCUCCGUUCCAGCUCUUAUUUUAACAUCAGUAGGCUCGGAACCAACAGGUUCAACACCCCAAAAGUAUGGAUGAAUCAAGACAAUACCAACAACAUUAAAGCCGUCGAUGAUUUCUCCACCGUUUCUUAUUGCCAUGUGAUGAGCAAUAUUAGCACCAGCGCUGUCCCCAGAGUAAAACACUCGCUCAAAAUCAGCAUUACGGUUGAGCCAAUCUUCGGGGCCACUUCCGUCAACAUGGGAAGCAACCCAUUUGACUGCGUCCCAUGAAUCUUCAUAAGCGAUAGGAAGGGGAUGCUCUGGGGCUCUUCGGUAGUCGACCGAGACUGCGAUGAUGUUAGCUUCAGAGACCAAGUCGUUGAGGUAAUUAUGGUAAGUUGGUGAAAAAGCAGUCUCGAUGCAAAAACCUCCGCCGUGAAAAUAAACAAGAAGGGGAAGUUUUUGGUUUUGAUUUGUGUUUUUCGGGAGGUAAAGCCGAGCAGAUAAAUUAUUUUCAGGAGAAUACACAACGUCUUUGGAAUCAACGUUUGUUUUGGGAUCAAGUGAUGGGGGAACGAUAUCGGUGCCCCUAAGCCUUUCUACUUUGCCGUCUUUGUGUACUUUUAUCAAAGGAGAGAAGUCAUGGGCGACUUCUGAUGAUGCGUUGGCGGAAUCCAUGGAGAAGAAGCAGAGCACAAAAUGUGGAGGGCGUUUGCUUUUGUAAAGAUGAUAACGAAAGGAUUUGGCCUGUGCAGGACAGACAGGGAUUUGUCCCCGCCAUACCCUAAAAGGUUAGGUAUUUAUCCAACUACAUCCCCAUAAUUUAAAAUUUCUUUUAUAUACCUUUUUCAAUGUGCAAUUACAGAAUUACCCUUUUUUCAAAUUUCAAAAUCUGCCUUCACGAGCUACCAUACACAACGCCUGUCCUGCUGCUGCAAGUUCAUGCUCCUGCUGCUGCAAGUUCAUCCACCACAUUAAAGGUUACAAAAUCACCGAAUUAAAGGCUGGAAAUUUACCGAACUAAAGGUCAUUAACCACAUUUACACUUGAUUUUUACUUUAUAAAGAGAAUUUAUGGUGCAUAAUUGUUAGGGUUAUAUGCAUUAGGGUUUUAAAAAACAAAUUACCCACAUGAUUUUGGUCAUUAUCUUGCUUAUUUACUGAUAAUCUUUCUUGUUGGUAAUGUAAUGAAGCUUCCUGAACUUGUGGAUUUGAAAUUGAAGAGAGUGAUUUCAUGGCUCUUUAAUAAUGGUUGUGGGAGUUCCUAAUUAAAUAUUCAUAGAGAAUUGGAUAAAACAAAUAUUAUCCUUAUGAAUACUCGGUUAUGGCUACACUAGUUUAUGCAUUAGAUCUUUAUAUAAUUUUACUUGUUGUUUGUAGUUGAACUUCAUCCAUGGGAAUUAUAUAUCAAUUUUCUUCAGCUGCGUAUGCAUUCAUUAUGCUACAAUCUGGGUUUUCUCUAUUAUUUGCUAUAGAACCUUUAUUUUGCAAUUCUAAUUUAUUAACAAUUUGCUAUUUAUUUCAGCAUAAAACUAUUGAUAGUACACUAUUAAUAAGUGUGUUUUGAACGACUUGUGAAUUUUGAAACAAUGUUGGAUCAUUUUAUUAAUUUGUCUCACUGUGAGGCUAUUGACUGAAGAAGUCACAUAGCAUUUAGGAUUUGAUAUUAUUGUGCAGCAAAUGUUGUUGUAUAUAUUUCCAACUAGUUAACUAUUGGAGAAUUGCCCUUUAAUACACUCGUCCUAGACUUGUUUUUAGUUUUUGAUAAUUAUACACAUACUUAAUAGCUUAUUAAUCAGAUUUAACUAAUGAAAAUUAAUUGUUUGAGUGUUAUGGAAAAAUUCAACAUUUUCUUUGAAUAUUUAUACUUUAUUUGGAAUUGUUAACAUACUUGAUACAUAAAGUUUGAUUUUUAUGUCAUGUGGCAGUGAUGGUUUAUUUCUUUUUUUUGUUUAGUACUCAUUUAAAAAUUAUUUGAGUUCAUAGUUAUUGGCAAUAUAUUUUAAUUUGAUGGGUUUGUUCUUGAAAUAAUAUAGUUAUGCUGAUCUUGUAGAUGCUAGUUGUAAGAAAGUCAUGUUGUCUUAUAUAUAGAACAUUUUUAAGUUGUAAAAAGUUCUCAUACCUGUUGCUUUUAUGUUGUGUGAUCAUUUAGUAGAUUGAUAAUAUAUUACGACAGUGAUAAUAAAUUUGAAGUAUUAUUUUUACUACAAAUUGAAAUUAUAUUUUUUCGACUUAACAAUAACAAUGGUGAUUUUUAACGAUUGAUUUAUAUGAAUGUUUUUAGUGGUGAUUGUGGAGCAUUUUUGUUGCAGUUCUUGGAGGUCUUGGCCCACUGACCUGAUGUCAAUUCAUAUUACCAACAAGAUGAUGUUGCACAAUUUCAAAAAGCAUUGGCUGUCAAAUUAUUUUGGAGUAGGUCUUGGAAAAAAAACUACGUAGUGUCCCACUCUUAAAAACUUCAUUGAUGUGUCAUUUUUUGGAUUACUUAUCAUGAGAUGUAAUUAUUACAAUGGGAUGUUGUUGAUAUUUGAUAUCAUUAAAGUUAAUUUGACAUCAUACAUAUGUUUUUUUUUAUUAAGUAUAUUAAUGACAGAGAAGAUAGUUUUUUAUGAUGUAUGUGAUGUAAUAGAAUGGUCAUAUAUGCUCAAGAAAUGCUCAGCCCAAACACAUGACUGUCGUCGAGUAUUUUCACAAAUACUCGACUGCAGUCGAGUAUUUACAAAUAUACAUGACUAGCUGGUAUUUGCAUUGGUUCACGACUGUAGUCGGGUAUUUUCACAGAUAUUCGACUGCAAUCGAGUAUUUACAAACAUACAUGACCAGCUAGUAUUUGCAUUAGUACAUGACUAUAGUCGGGUAUUUUCAUAGAUACUCGACUGCAGUAGAGUAUUUCCAAACAUAUAUAACCAGAUGGUAUUUGGAUUGGUACACGACUGAAGUCAUGUAUUUUCACAUAUACUGGACUGCAAUCUAGUAUUUCCAAACAUAUAUGACCAGCUGGUAUUUGCAUUAGUACACGACUGCAGUCGGGUAUUUUCACAUAUACUCAACUGCAGUUGAGUAUUUACAAACAUACAUAACCAGCUGGUAUUUGGAUUGGUACACGACUGCAGUCGGGUAUUUUUACAGAUACUCGAUUGCAGUCGAGUAUUUCCAAACAUAUAUAACCAGGUGGUAUUUGGAUUGGUACACGACUGCAGUCGGGUAUUUUCACAGAUACUCGACUGCAGUUGAGUAUUUGUAAACAUACAUAACCAAUUGGUAUUUGCAUUGGUACAUAACUUUAGUCGGGUAUUUUCAUAAAUAAACGACAAUAGUCGAGUAUUUAAUAGAUUCACAUUUAUAGUUGAGUACAAUCAGACAUACACGACAAUAGUCGAGUAAGAGCCAAAAUACACGACUGUAGUUGGGUAAGUGGAUAUAGAACAUAAAAUUACCCAAAACAUUCAUUAUAAUGACAACAAAAUCAACAUAGGCUUUAACAUAUCAUACUUCAAUUUAACAAAUAACAAAAGUAAUUGUACAUCAAACAACAUAGAUCCAAUACAUGUUCAAAUCAUAAAUAAGUCGUAAUACAAUGGAAGUUGCUGCACAAUCAUCAUAAUUAUUUGCAUGCUCAGCCCAAAGACUUGACCCAUGUAUUAUAAGGCCCCAUUCGCCUCCUUUUGAAAACAGCAUAAGCCACACAAACAUGUUUAUCCAGUUGCAAAACAAAAAAGGUAGAAAUUUAUCAACUAACUAUUUUAGAUAUUAAAGAAAUUAAAAGAACAAAAAUGACAAGUAUGUAAGGUUCAUAGUAGUAUGUGUGCUUGUUUUUGUUUCAUUCGGUCUAACUACGGGCUCAUUGUUAGACAGUGAGAUUGGUGCAUUGCAAGUUAGUCGAUUAUAUCAUUAAGAACCACACCUACCGUACUUACGGCGUAACUUUUCUUCACCUUGUGAUGCUAUCCUAAUUUCUUAUGAUUCUAAAGAAUAAUAGGCACACAUACUGAAGUCACUUCUUACAAUAAUACAACAGAUGAUUAUACAAAAAAAAAACAAAAAAAUCAAACAAGGUAUAUUAUGAAGUGUGGAACUGUCUGUCUAUUUACACGACUGCUGUCGUGUAAUUGCUAGUUUACACGACAAUAAUUGUGUAACUUGCUAAAAUACACAAUUAUAGUCUAGUAAACAAUUAGAGAAUAUGUUUAGUAAAAAAAUGUAAUCUUUAUACUAAUAGAUUACUAUGUGUCAUAACAGCUACUAUAUCUUUCAAUCUUGCACAACUGCUAUCGUGUAAAUUCAUACAUACAUGAUAAAAGUCAUACAUACAUGAUGACAGUUGUGUAAGUUAUAGAAAUACAUGACUAUAAAUAGUCAAAGGACACAUUUCUUCUUCAAAAAAUAUUUUUCUUGCACUAAUAAAAUGUUGGGAUCUCAUAACAGUUGGAACAUUUUACAUAUAUGUACAAUUAUAAUAUAUAAGUUCAUACGUAUACGAUAGUAGUCGUGUAACUUAUUAAAACACACAACUAUAGUCUAGUAAUAGUAAAAGGAUAUAUCUAGUGAAAAUAAUAUAUUUUUUUGCACCAAUAAAAUGAUAGGGUGUCAUAAUAAUUUGAAUCUUUUGCACAUUUUCACGACUACAGUCGUGUAAAUCCAUACAUACACGACUGCUGUCGUGUAUGUUGGGGUGCAGAACAAAAUUUUGGCAGCAACUUUAGGUUUUAACGAAUGUAGUUAUAAAAUCCAUCAAAUAACAGUCAUAUGAUGCAAAUAUAAUGAAAAUGUGAGUUGCUUUAUUGUUUAUCACAAACCAAACAAAACCCUAAAAAUAAUAUAAUGUCAACAAAAUAAAUAAAUAACACAAAAUAAAAUAUAAAGUUUCAAAUACCUUAUUCAUGUGAUGAAUAAUGCACCCAGCUGCAAACUAAAAUCUCAGUACAUUGGCUGUUCGUGAGUGAUUUUAAGUGUGGAGUGAGUUUUUGUUGUGUGGAGUUAAAAAAAGUGAGAAGUAAAGAGUGUUGGAGGUGAGUUGUGUGUGUUUUAUAUUUUUCUUUAGGGAUAUUUUAGACAAUGUACCACAUAAAAAGGUAUAUCUAGAUAAUUUUUAAGCAUGUAAAUAAAAAAAAUUAUUAUUUUUUAUCUGUAAAUAUAAAUAUCUCAAUUAAUAUUAUCUUUAAAUAUUACUAAGAAGUAAAAGUUGUUUAAGUGUGUGUGUAUAUAUAUAUAAUUAUAAUACAUACAUACGUGUGUGUAUUCAACUGUUUAUUCUUAUCAUAUGAUUGAUAUGAUACGUAUUCUAAAAUUUAUUUUAAUUUGAGAUAUUUAGUUGAUAUAUUAAUUAAUGUAUUAGGGAUAAAAUUUUAUUAUUUAAAUAAAAAAUAAAAAAAAUUAUUAUUAUUUAUCUGUAAAUAUAAAUAUCUCAAUUAAUAUUAUCUUUAAAUAUUACUAAGAAGUAAAAGUUGUUUAAAUGUGUGUGUAUAUAUAUAAUUUGUGUGUGUGUGUGUUCAAUUGUUUAUUCUUACUUAAAAUAUCAAGAAUCCUAUCAUAAGAAUGGAACUCGAAUCCGUGAACCCAAUAUUGGGUGGGAAUAUGGGAUGGGUGCGAGUACAGUCGGGGGAGCCCACUCGAUUGGCGUUGGGUACGUAACGUUGGAGGCGAUGAAAACAAAAAUCAAUUAAUUCCUCUCCACAUACAAGAGCUUUUGCGAAUCACAGAUGUGACCUAAUGAAAAGUGAUAACGUGAUAAGUGUCAUUCAAUUAUUGAUAGAUACUUUUGACAUCUAGAAACAUGUUGAAAAAUUAUGCAUAAUUGUGUCUCGUAGCAAAUUACGUUUGCAGUGUGGUCGCUUAAGUCAGUUCCCUGAAAUAAUGGGCAUGGUGCAUCCAUCCAUCUUGCAGACGGCGGAAUAACAAUGAAAGGUGAAUUUAGAGCUAGGUUAAAUCGAAUCAAACUGUAGUUUCUUUUUCACAAAUUGGCUCCUAUACAAUUAAACUCUUUAAUAUUCAAUCCUCAUUAUUCAUAAGCUUGAUUAAUUAAAAUAGUUAUUAAAAAGCCAAAAAAAAACAAAAGAGAUAGAGAGAGAACAUUGGAGUACAAGUAGAUAUAUAAUUAAAUAACACUGAAUAUAGUUCAUAAUAUAUGAUCGUCCAGUUGGUUAGCAGGACAAUAAGAAAAUGUUGGGUUGGACGGUUGGUGAUGAAAUAAAGCAUUAAAUAUGAAUGAAAGAAAAAAAAAUAUAUGGACGACAUAUGCAGUAGAUGGAUGAUUUGAUGUGCAUAUUUGAUGUGCAUAUUUAAUUACUCUUUAUUUCAUUGUCGUGAGUAAAUUAAAAAUUGAUUUUAUUGCCAUUCAAUUUGAUAAUUUUAAGUAAUUUUCUUGUGCUAAUCAACUAAAUUUCGAAUCUUAAAAAUAAUAGGGACUACAAAAUAAUUUGUAUUUUAUUCAUCCUAUCUUUUAAAAAAGAAAAGAAACAUGACGAUAGAAAGUUAAUUCGGUGAGCAUGCUUACGCUGGUUGAACAGUGUAUACAACCAGCUAAAGGUCUACGAGUCAGAAUUUGGUGUUUUCUUGCCCAGCCUUUUAGGGUUUGUGUAAAUAAAAGUCAUAUAAAUGAAACACUAUCUUAAUAUUAAAUUGUGGAACCACUUUGACUAGCUAGUGAAAGGCUGCCAUUCCAUUAGGAAAUCCGACAUAAUUUUCAAGGGAUCACUCUCUCUGAUGGCAAUAUUGCCCGCCAACCCAAAAAUCUCUUCCGUUAAAAUUAUGACUAAUACUUAGUAAAAGGAGGAAAGGUAGUGUUAGUACAAUCUGAUGAUUGUCAAAUAUAUAUUAGCAAAAGGAUGAGUACAUUGAUACAAAUUCAAACUUUUUUUUUCCUUUUUAUCCCUAAUCACCUAUUACAUUAUUUUAAUUUCCAAUUUUUGUGAAAGUCUAACGGGUAGUUGUCUUGUCAUUAUUUUUUUUUAUAAGGUCUUGUCAUUAUUUGGUUUCAAGUAAGAAGAGAGAAAGUUAGUGAGAGGAUGAAAAUUUUACAAAAACUUGUUACUGGCUGUGGUAAUUAAGUAAUUUGAAUUCUUCUUUUUAUUUAUUUUUUUACUCUUUCCUGUUUUAAAACAAAUUAUGAGUUUUCAUGCUUAUAAUAAUUCUUAUAAACGUCAUAUGGUUUGGCAUAAAAUUAGGUAAUUGGAAAGGCCCUGGUGUUGGAUGAAAUUAUCAAUUACGUGUAGCCCCUAUAAAAUCAAUUGGAGACAACAUUGUUACUAAAAAAACCUUAGUAACACAGUAAUAAUGCAUUAAUCUUCUUUAAUAUAUUGUUGUAUUCCUACUUUAUUUAUUGAGUUUUGUAGUUUUUUUGGCACUAUUUUCUCUUAAUUUCAUACAUUGCUUUUUACUAUUUUCCAAUCUUUCUAUGUUGCUUUUGGAUCACUACAAUUGCUGGUUGUGAUUUAUUUUAGCCUACUAUUGUAGGUCUUUAUAGUUGCCGAGUUUUGUUUAUGUUUAGCUACUUUAUUAAAGCAAUUUUGCAUAAUGAAGUUAUGGCUAACCUUUAUUAAAUACUUCUAACUUUUGUCGAUACAUUUUCUUAACUUUUAUACUGAAGAUUUUUUUUUUUUGGUUUUUCAAGUAAUUUAAUCCUUAAUAACAUUUUCUAACAAAAUUAAUUACAUAAACGAUCAGGAAAAAAAAAGUAGAAUCGUUGUAAACUGUCUUCUGUUCAUCGUGGUUGAUCAACUCUCAUGUGCAACAUCUAAAUCCAAUGGUACUUGAAACAAAAAAGACUUUGUUUUAUGACUUUUAUCUUUAUAUUUCUUUGCAAGGAACAAUAUUUAUUUGGAUUUCAAUGUCAUGCUUUGUAUUUGAAUCUUUUGGAUUGUAAUUACAUAUUUUAAAUCCUUUUUCACGUGACUACAAUUUUUUUGGUCACUAAAUUUCAAUUUAUGCCACUACAAUAUGAAAAAAUGAUAUUUGAAAAGAACACUGAUUUUAUUCUUCUAUAUGUAUUGCAGUAGAAUUACAGAGAAUUUAUAUAUAAGUUUGCAAGAGCAAAUAUUCACAAAAAAAGAAAGUAAAUAACGAUCCCAUAUUCAAAGGGAUUACAAAUCAGCCACAUAUAAGGAAGCAAUCUCUCUCAAUUAGUCAAGUGAAGCCAACGAAAUCUUAACACUCCCCCUCAAGUUGAAGCAUGUAUAUCUAGCAUGUUCAACUUGGUUGUUAGCCUCUUAAACACUUUUCCUCCAAGAGCUUUUGUAAAAAUGUCUGCCAACUGUAAAUGAGAUGGAACAAAUUUCGUGAUUAUCUGACCAUCUUGUAUUUUCUCCCUUACUCCAUGACAAUCAAGGUCUAUGUGUUUGGUGCGUUCAUGAUAUACCAGAUUUGUUGCUAUGUGAAGAGCAGCUUGGUUAUCAUAUAAUAGCCUUGCUGGUCCUAUGGAAAUUUGCAUAUCAUUGAAUAAAAAUCUAAGCCAAGUGAGCUCACAGGUUGCUGCUGCCAUGGACCUGUACUCAACUUCUGAUGAUGAUCUUGAGACUGUUUUCUACUUCUUUACUUUCCAAGAAAUCAAAGAAUCCCCUAAGAACACACAAUAACAUGUUGUUGAUCUUCUUGUUAUAGGACAAGUUGCCCAAUUAGCAUCACAGUAAGCCUUUAAAGUAAAGGAACUGCUUGAGGAGAAUAACAAACCUAAACCAGGGUUGCCCUUUAAAUAUUUAAUAAUACGAAGAGCAGCAUCCCAGUGAGGCUUUCUUGGAGCAUGCAUAAAUUGGCUUAAGAUGUUAACUGAGUAUGUAAUGUAUGGUCUCGUAAUUGUGAGAUAUAUUAGUCGGCCAACUAAUCUCCUGUAGCGAGUUGGAUUAUGCAGCAAAUCACCUUAAUGGUUUGUGAGCUUCAAAUUCAUCUCCAUGGGAAAAUUUACCAGUUGAGCACCCAAGUAUCCAACAUCAUCUAUGAUUUCUAAGGUAUAUUUUCGUUGAGAGAUAACAAGACCUGCUUUAGACCUUGCAACUUCCAGCCCAAGAAAAUAUUUAAGAAGACCGAGAUCUUUGAUAUGAAAUUGUUGGUGAAGAAAUUGUUUGAGAUUAUGUAGAGCGACUGCAUCAUUUCUGGUUAUCACCAUAUCAUCUACAUAAAUAAGAACUGUGGUUAUAGAUGUGCCAUUUGUCUUUACAAACAACGAGUAAUCCGAAUGUGAUUGAAUAAAGCCAGCUUUCUUGACAGCAUGAGAAAAUUUCGCAAACCAAUUGCGAGGAGCUUGUUUAAGCCCAUAAAGGGACUUAUGAAGUUGACAAACAAGCUUCUCCCCCUGUUGACAAAGUCCCGGCGGUGGAGUCAUAUAUACUUAUUCUUCUAAAUCACCAUGCAAAAAAACAUUGGUCACAUCCAUUUGAUACAAUGGCCAAUGUCUUGCAGCAACCACAACAAGUAAACAACGAACAGUGGUCAAUUUAGCCACAGGAGCAAAUGUCUCAGUGUAAUCCAGGCCUUCUUAUUGAGAAAAUCCUUUGGCGACUAAUCGAGCUUUGUAACGUUCAAUCGUACCAUUAGAAUUGUAUUUGAUACGAUAAACCCAUUUGCUGCCAAUGGGUUGAUGACCAGCAGGUAAAGGGACCAAGGACCAUGUCUUCUAUGAAUUGAGAGCAUCAAGUUCACGUUGCAUAGCCUCUUUCCAUUUCGGAUCCAAUACAGCCUGAGCAUAAGAGGUUGGUUCUAGGACACUUGAAAUGGUGUUAACAAAGUGUUUAUGAGUAGAAGACAAAGAUAAUGUAUUUGCUUAAAGGAUAUUGAGUACCUGACUUAGUUGAAAAUCACUGACUUGAAGCUGUAGUUGAUGGUGUUGUACUAAUCUGUCCACAAUGAAAGUCACGAAGGAGAACAGAUUGUUGCCUUACAUGGUCACUUUUUACAAAUAUGAGGGGCAGGAUAAGAUAUAGAGGAAGAAGGGGAAGAAGUUGAUGACAAUAAAGGAUUAAGAGAGGGAAUAAUAGUCUCUGAUGCUGGAGGGACAGGAUGAGUUACAGAAGGAGAUAGAUCAUCGAUGUAAUCUAAUAUCUCAGGCUGAGGAAAAGGGCUAUCUAAUGAUUUUUUGAUACGAAGAAAAGGAAAAAUAGACUCAUGAAAAAUGACAUCACGACUGGAAAAGAAUUGGUGAGUAUGGAGAUCAUAUAAUCGAUAGGCUUUUUGGCCUAUAGAGUAACCAACAAAUAUGCAUUGUCGAGCCCGAGAAUCAAACUUAUUAGACGACUGUAGAUUUGUUGCAUAAUAGAGACAUCCAAAAACUCGUAAGUGAGUGUAGUUAGGUGGCUUAUUAUACAACAACUUAUAUGGAGAUUUAUAUUGCAACAAGGGAGUGGGAAGACGAUUUAUAACAUAGGCUGCAGUAAGUAAACUCUCCCCCCAAAAUUUUAAAGGAAGAUUGGCAUCAAUUCUCAAAGCCCGACUAACGUUUAAGAGAUGACGAUGUUUUCGUUCAACGCACCAUUUUGUUGAGGUGUAGAUAGACAGGAGCUUUGAAAUAAAAUACCAAGGGUUGAUAAAUAAGGUUUCAUGGAAAGAAAUUCUGAGCCAUUAUCACUUCUAAGAUAUUUAACUUGACAAUUAAAUUGAGUGUUCACAAAAGAAAUAAAUGUUUUUAUUAAUCCUUGGGUUUCAGAUUUAAAUUUCAUUAAAAAAAUCCAAGUGAAACGAGUGUAAUCAUCAACUAUAGUCAGGAAAUAAUGUGCCCCUAUAUGAGUUGCAGUACGAAAAGGUCCCCAAAUAUCACAAUAAAUAAGAUCAAAUGAAUGCAAAGUUUGAAUAGAACUUGAAGAAAAUGGUAAACGAGUUUGCUUUGCCAAAGGGCAAGUUUCACAGGAAUGUUGAGAAUCAAAUACGAAUGCAGGAAUAAUAUUGCUUAAAAAUUGUGAAGGUGCUUUUGAGGGAUGUCCUAACCGCUUGUGCCAAGUAAUAUGUGUAGUAGAAUCAGCAUGAUGGGUGAUUGAAAAAGAAGUUAGUGUAGACUUCACUUGAGGAACAAAGUAGUACAAGCCAUUAAGCUGCUUCCCCAAGCCAAUCAUCUUCUUCGAAGCUAGGUCCUGCAAUAUACAGAAAGUGGGAAAAAAAUGGAUUGAACAAUUCAUGGCAGCAGUAAGUUGACUCACUAAAAGUAAAUUAACAUGAAAUGAUGGUGCACAUAAUACAUUAUUAACAUGUAGAUGGUUUGAGAGUUGUGUUGAGCCAAUUUCAGUUAUCUUAGAAUAGGCACCAUUAGGCAAGGUUACUUGAGAUGACAUAUGAGUUUUAAUAGGUAUUGAAGUUGCUAUGUGAUUUGUUGCACCACUAUCAAUAAUCUAGUUAUUCAAGUCUGUCUUUUGCGUAUUGAAAAAUGAACAGAAAGGUAUAAGGAUACCUGUGUAGUUUGCUCGAGCAGGAUUGUUACCAUUUCUAAAGAAAGCUUUUAUUUGGGCAAGCUGGGAAAAAUCACCUUGAGAGAAACGUUCUUGAAGGUCAGUCCAAAUCUUUGAGGGCGUCUCUAAAUAGAGUACACUAUUUGCAAGCUCCUGAUUUAGAGAGUUAAGGAUCCAGGAAAGCACCAUAUCGUUGCAGCGCUGCCAUAAAGAAUGUUUUGGAUCAUCUUCAUCUGGUGUGUGAAUGGUUCCUUUGAUGAAUCCCAGUUUGUUUUUUGUAUUAAGACUCACUAGCAUAGAUCUCUUCCAAAUAGCAUAAUUUGUUCCAUCUAAGACUUUUGGAACAAGAAUCAUGCCAGGAUGAUCAGAAGCAUGAAGAAAAAUAGGGUCUGAGGAAUCAACCGUAGACAUAGACAUAGUGUGAUGAGAGGUUUGAGAAGAUAUAUGAUUUGGUGGAUGAUUGUGACUGCUAUCACUAUCAAUAUCAAUAUCAUCCAUAAAAAAAAAGAAGCGAAAGUGUUUUACCGAAUCAAAACCAUUGCUCUGAUACCAUGAAAAAAUGACAUUUGAAAAGAACACUGAUUUUAUUCUUCUAUAUGUAUUGCAGUAGAAUUACAGAGAAUUUAUAUAUGAGUUUACAAGAGCAAAUAUUCACAAAACAAAGGAAAGUAAAUAACGAUCCUAUAUUCAAAGGGAUUACAAAUCAGCCAUAUAUAAGGAAACAAUCUCUCUCAAUUAGUCAAGUAAAGCCAAUGAAAUCUUAACACAAUAUGUUGUUGUGGAUUUAUUUUGUUUUUUAAUUAUGAUUGAGAGAAGUCACUUCAAUUUUUUGGAUACGAUAUAAACAGUAGCCAAAUAAUAAAAUAUAUUGUGGUUAAAAAUAAUGUGAGACUACAUUACAUAGAUUUUGUAAUGAAGGGUUCUGUCAUAAAAUGUUAAUUUUAAUGACUAAAUGUAGUUGUUGCAAAGGUCAUUUAUUUUUUUUUUUAUACAAUUAACUGGUCAUGAAAUAACAAAAUAAAUUGUCCUUAAAACAAAUUUUUUAUUUGGGAUGAUUAUGUAAUGUUGUGAUAAAUAAACUUCAACAGUAGAAAAAAGCGUUGCUAAUUAUAUUUUCGAACCUCUAAAAUGACGAUUUUUAGUAAUUAUUGCGACUAUAUUUUACAUAAUCUUGAGAUAAAUAUUAUAGUCACUAUAAAUCAUUUAUCAUGACAAAUGUCAAAUAUCGUUGAUUGCAUUUUUGAAUCUCUAAUUUGGUCAUUUUGAAUACCAUUUGUGAUGAUUUUAACUUAAUUUUAAGACAAUGAUUUUUAUCACAAAAAAUAUAUUUUUAACAUGACCAAAAUAAUUUUGGUCGUUAAAAUAUUUUAAGAUGGUCUUUUCACGACUAACAUGUGACAAUUUAUUUUUUGUCGUAAAACAUAUAAAGUGACUAACUUAUUAUCUUUGGUUACUAAAUUUUUUGUAAUAAAAUAUUAUUUUUCUUGUAAUGGGAAUUAAAGCAAUAGUUUAGAUCAAAAUAGGUAGGAUAUUUAUUUGGCGUUUUUAGAUUACCACCUAACAAUGAAGGGCAAGCAAUGGAUGAAAAAGUGAGGAGACUAAUAAUAGUUAUUAAUCAUAGAACUCAAUCAAUGCUAACAUAAUUCUAUGACCAAAAUGAUGGCAAUAAUGCUACUUUGAAUAUAGUCCAUAAUAUAGUUUCCAAUACAUAACAAUGAAUAUAGUUCAUAAUACAUGACAGUCCAGUUGGUUAGCAUGACAAUAAGCAAAUGUUGGGUUGUUGAUCAAAUAAAGAGUGAUUAAAUAUGAAUGUCAUAUUCAUGGAAAAAGAAAAGGAAAAUAUGAAUGAGAUAUUUAGUUGAAUAUGUUCAAAUAUGUAAAGAUCUUAUCAAAUGUCAAGAUCCUAGCAUUAUUGAUUAUUUCAUGUGCAUAUUUAAUCACUCUUCAUUUCAUUGUAGUGAAUAAAUUAAAAAUUGAUUUCAUUGUCAUUCUAUUUGAUAAUUUCAAGUAAUUUUGUUCAUCCUAUCUUUUAAAAAAGAAAAGAAACUUGACAACGGAAAGUUUGGUGAACACAUUUAUACCUGUUGAACAGUGCAUACAACCAGGCACCACCGCCGCAGCUAAAGGUCCAUGAGUUAAAAUUUUGUUUUUACUUGCGUAGCCUCUAGGGUUGGUGUAAAUAAAAGUCUUAAAUGAAACAUUAUAUUAAUAUUUAAUUGUGUAACCACUCUGACAAGUACAAGGCUACAAUUUCAUUAGGAAAUCCAAUAUAAUUUUUAAUGGAUCACUCUCUUGGAUGGCAAUUUUACCUGCCAACCCAAAAAAUCUCAUUUAUUAAAAUUAUAACUAACAAUUAGUAAAACGAGAAAAAGUAGUGUUGAUACACAUUGAUAAUAGUCACAUAUUAUAUAUGAUUUUGAUAUGAAUUGAAUCAAUAUAUCAAAAUCAUAGAUAUUGAAUUGGCGUUUGUAGAUUACCACCUAACAAUGAGGGGGAAGCAAUGGGUGAAAAGGUGAGGAGACUAAAACGAUAGUUAUUAAUCAUAGAACUCAAUCGAUAAUAACAUAAUUCUAUGACCAAAAUGAUGGCAAUAAUGCUACUUUGCCCUAAUACAGACCAGUAUGACCAAAAUGUUGAAGAAGACCCAUAUUAAUGCAGGUUUUAAUUGCAAGCCAUUAUAUAGCUUUGGCACAUUUUCAGUUUUCACGUUAUUGUUAUCUAUUAUCAUAAAGAAUAAUGAUACUCGUAGGAAAAAAAGCACAAAAAUACAAAAGACAAUAUUUAUUUAUUUACAAGUCAAAUAUAUAUUGUCUAACACUGAAUUUUUUUUUCUAAUGCAGUGCUAUUUUUUGUGCACAUAUCAUUAUUCUAUUGCUAAUGAAAUGCAGGAUGUGGAAUCAAAUUAGUUAUAUUCGGUUAUACAAGCUGAGGUGGAAAGCUGAGUCAGCAAGGGUGGGUCCCCAGGUGGUUUAAUUAGUUGUUAUAACCAGCUGUACUAACUGAUAGUUAUAAGAAGAAGCUUCAGAAAAAGAGCUGAUUAGCGUGAGGUUAUCGAGAACAUUAGUGUGAGUUUGUUGAGAGAAGAAACUCUCUGUGUGAGUGUUAUCAAGUUCUUGCUCUCUGUGAGACUCCAUUGUAACAUUUUUAGUUCAUCUUCUAAUAAAACUCUAGCUCUGUUGUUCCUGAUCGUGGAUGUAGGUACCUUGGUACCGAGCCACGUUACCUUUGUCUUGAGUCUUUAAAGUUCUUUAUCUUGCUCUGUUGUAACUGGUGGUGGUCUUAGGUUCUCCUGGGUUUUUGCUUUGGUUGUGUUUAGUUAUUGCAUCAGUAGAGUUGCUAGGUUGAUCAAAAGGUCCAACAAACUGGUAUCAGAGCUUGGUCCAUCUAUCUUGCUCUGAGAAAUUCUCAAAAAUGGGAUCUACAAGAUUCGAUCUUAAAAAGUUUAAUGGAGAAAAUGACUUCUAUUUGUAGAGUCUUAAAAUGAGGGCAAUCAUCAUUCAACAAGGGUUGAAUACUGCACUCGAAGAAGAUGAAGAUUCAAAAGUCCAGAAAGGGAAGGAAGAAUGAUCAUCUAGUACUGGUGCAGAUAAAAGAAUCAUAAUUAUAUUUGGUCCAAAAUCCAAUGCAUAUCCAAUAUUCACUUGUCUAUGCAUAUCCAACAUUUUCUUGUGCACAUGCAUGUCAAAAUGUUGCCAUUCUGAUAGUAAGUUGAAUGAUAAGGUCUUAAUUCAAGUUGUUCUGUACACUAGCAUCUUAAUUGCACUUUCUCUGUCACAGAGUAUUUGAAUAUGUUUGAAGCAAGUUCAGCCCCCAAAUGAAUCAAUAGUUGAAAAACAGAAACUAUUUUCAGAACCAAUCAGGAUUAUUGAGAAAUACUGCUGUACCGUACAUCCGCCUUGGCCGUACAGCAGUAAAGGAUGUAAAGAAUGCCUUGGAAUCGAAGGACUUAAAGAGAAGAACAUAUGGAAAGGAUCUAAACCCUGCUAAAAGCUUAGUUGCCAGAGCUAAACCUGAUAAGAAAUUCAACAAAGAUAAGAAGAACAACAACCAGAAAGACAAAGGAGACAAGAAAAAAAAGAAAAGAAAGUGUUAUUUUUGGGACAAAGAAGGACAUUACAUCAAAGACUUUUUUGAGAAGAAGAGGCUGGAAAAAUUACAGAAAGAAACAAAUGGGAAGGCUGCUGUAGCCUCAGAAGAUGAAGGAAUAUCAUAUUAUGCAGAUGUUCUCAUUGCUGCAGAAAAGCAACCUUCAGGUGAGUGGAUACUCGACUCAGGUUGCUCCUUCCAUAUGUGUCCAAAUAUAGAUUUCUUUAAGACAUUUGAAUAAGUUGAUGGUGGGAAGGUCUUGCUUGGUAACAAUCUUGCCUGUAAAGUAGCUGGAAUUGGAACCAUUAAUAUUAGGAUGUUUGAUGAGAUUGAAAGAGAUCUAAAACAGGUCAGAUAUGUCCCAGAAUUAAAAAGGAAUCUAAUAUCCUUAGGAGUAAUAGAUCAGGUAGGCUGUAGUAUAAAAUCAGAAAAUGGUAACCUUCAGAUUGAAGAAAAUGGUCUGGUCAUAAUGAAGGGCAUAAGAAGAAAUGGUUUAUAUGUACUCACUGGCUCAACAGCUAAACUAGCAAUCACAGCUAGUGUAAGCAGUGAUAGAACCAAACUAUGGCACAUGAGGUUAACACACAUGGGUGAGAAUGGAAUGAAAGAACUGAGCAAGCAAGGGCUGCUGGGAAAUGAUAUGAUCACCUCUUUACAGUUUUGUGAAAAAUGUGUGUUUGGGAAAGUAACAAGGCAUAGGUUCAACCCUGGAAAAAAGGAAACUAAACAAACUUUAGACUAUGUUCAUUCAGACCUUUGAGGUCCAUCACAAGUCCCUUCUCAUGGUGGAGCCAGAUACUUCAUAACCUUCAUAGAUGACUACUCCAAAAGAGUGUGGGUCUAUAUGCUGAAACAUAAGAAUAAAGCCUUUGAAAGAUUUAAAUAGUGGACUGCACUCAUGGAAAAUCAAACAGAAAAAGGGCUUAAGAGACUAAGAACAGACAAUGGUUUAGAAUAUUAUAACAAAGACUUUGAAAAUUUCUGUAAGUCAAAGGGCAUUGCUAGGCACAGGACAGUUAGAAACACUCCCCAACAAAAUGGGUUGGCUGAAAGAAUGAAUAGGACCUUAAUUGAAAAGGUCAGAUGCAUGUUGUUAACUGCUAAUCUGUCUAAACACUUCUGGGCUGAGGUUGUAAAUACAGCUGUAUAUCUGAUAAACAGGAGCCCAUCAUCAACCUUGGACUUCAAAACACCUCAAGAAGUAUGGUCAGGGAAGCCACCAAAUCUUAGUAAUCUCAGGGUAUUUGGCUGCCCAGCUUAUGCACAUAUAAGUCAGGGCAAGCUAGAACCAAGGGUUGUGAAAGGAUACUUCAUAGGGUAUCCAGAAGGCAUAAAGGGAUACAAGAUUUGGUGCUUAAAUGGCAAACCAUCAAGAACUCUGAUCAGCAGAGAUGUAGUGUUUGAUGAAGAGGCUAUGUUGCAGCAAAAGGUUGGAACAGAAAUUAAAGUUUCUAAACCUUUAAAUAAAUCUGAGUUGAAGGUGGAGUCCAAAGACAUUUUGAAAGAAAGUGAAAAGAUUACAGAGUCUCAUCAUGGAGUUAACAAAGCCUCAGAACUUGAUAACUACCAGCUUGCAAGAGAUAAAGAAAGAAUGGUAGUUAAAAUGCCCAAAAGAUAUGGGAUAGCAGACCUGAUAUCUUUUGCACUGAUGGUUGUUGAUGAGAUGACUGAAGAAGAACCUGAAAAUUUCAAACAGGCUAUGACUAGCAGAGACAAGGGGAAAUGGCUGAGUGCUGUGGAAGAUGAAAUGAUAUCACUCAAGAAAAACAAUACUUGGGUUCUGGUUCAGAGACCUGCUGAAAAAAGGUUAGUGGGAUGCAAAUGGAUCUUCAAGCUCAAGGAUGGAGUUUCUAGAGAUGAAUCAGUGAGCUACAAGGCUAGACUUGUGGCAAAGGGCUUCACACAAAAUGAAGGGAUAGACUUCAAUGAAGUCUUCUCACCUGUAGUUAAACACUCCUCUAUAAGGGUCAUAUUAGCCAUCACAGCUUUCUUUGAUUUAGAACUGGACCAGAUGGAUGUGAAGACUGCCUUCUUACAUGGAAACUUAAAAGAAGAAAUUCUAAUGGCACAACCAGAGGGCUUCGUUGAAGAAAGAACUGAAGACAUGGUUUGCUUACUUAAGAAAAGUUUAUAUGGGUUGAAGCAAUCUCCUCGGCAAUGGUACUUAAGAUUUGAUGAGUUUAUGUUAAGUCAUAACUUCAACAGAAGUGAAUAUGACAACUGUGUGUACUUUAGAAAACUGAACUCAGGAGAUCAAAUCAGUCUACUUCUCUAUGUUGAUAACAUGCUCAUAGCAUAUAAACAUAAAGAAGAAAUUAAUAAGCUCAAGGCUGAGUUAAUGGCAGUAUUCGAAAUGAAAGAUUUGGGUCUUGCUGCUAAGAUACUAGGAAUGCAAAUAAAGAGGGCAGACAUGCCAAGACUUUAUUUCUCACUCAAACAGGAUAUCUAAAAAGGGUUGUCAAUAGAUUUGGGAUAGUGAACUCAAAACAUGUCACUACUCCAGUAGCAACACACUUCAAACUCUCCAAGCAACAUGCUCCACAAGAAGAAGCAGACAUUGAUCACAUGAGGAGAAUUCCAUACUCUAGUGCAGUUGGUAGCAUUAUGUAUGCUAUGGUCUGCACUAGAUCAAAUGUUGUAUAUGGGAUUGGCCUUGUUAGCAUGUUCAUGGGGAAUCCAGGCAAAGAGCAUUGGGAGGCUAUUAAAUGGCUACUAAGGUAUCUUAGAGGUACAGAAGGACAUGGAGUGAUGUUUGGACAGGUCAGCAAUGCCUCAAGCAAGGUUUUGGGGUAUGUUGAUUCUGAUUUUGCUGGAGAUUUAGACAAGAGAAGAUCUGUCACUGGUCUUGUAUUUACCCUCUGUGGUGGAGCUGUGAGCUGGAAGUCAACACUACAAUCAGUAGUUGCCCUUUCAACAACAGAGGCAGAGUAUAUUGCUUUAACAGAGGCUGUGAAAGAAGCAUUAUGGUUGAAGGGGUUAGUCACAGAACUGGGUUUGGAACAAGAAUCAGUCACUGUCAAUUGUGAUAGCUCAAGUGCAAUACAGUUGAGCAAAAACCCCAAAUAUCAUGAAAGAACUAAGCAUGCGGAUGUGAGGAUGCACUUUAUUAGGGAUAAAAUUCGAAGUGGUGUGAUUAAUGUCAUUAAAAUUCCUACUGAAGUAAAUCCAGCAGACAUGUUAACGAAGCCUUUACCAACAGUUAAGUUCAGGAACUCCUUGGACUUGAUUGGGGUUAUUAACUUGUAAGUCAAGUUAACUAAUAUUCUGGAGCAGUAAUGAGUAGAGUUAUAACCGAGUAAACUAAGGUGGAGAUUUGUGGAAUCAAAUUAGUUAUAUUCGGUUAUACAAGCUGAUGUGGAAAGCUGAGUCAGCAAGGGUGGGUCCCCAAGUGGUUUAAUUAGUUGUUAUAACCAGCUGUACUAACUGAUAGCUAUAAGAAGAAGCUUCAGAAAGAGAGCUAAUUAGCGUGAGGUUAUCGAGAACAUUAGUGUGAGUUUGUUGAGAGAAUAAACUCUCUGUGUGAGUGUUAUCAAGUUCUUACUCUCUGUGAGACUCCAUUGUAACCUUCUUAGUUCAUCUUCUAAUAAAACUCUAGUUCUGUUGUUCCUGAUCGUGGAUGUAGGUACCUUGAUAUCGAACCACGUUACCUUUGUCUUCAGUCUUUAAAGUUCUUUAUCUUGCUCUGUUGUAUCUGGUGGUGGUCUUAGGUUCUCCUGGGUUUUUGCUUUGGUUGUGUUUAGUUAUUGCAUCAGUAGAGUUGCUAGGUUGAUCAGAAGGUCCAACACAGGACAUUUGAGUCCUUUCAAUAAUUCAUGUAUUUUUUAUUCUGCUUUGCUUCGUGCAAGGUAGCAUAAUUGUUGGUUUCUACUAAUUCUAUUGAGUGAUGAAUGAUGAUACAAUCACCGCAUGGGCGGAGAGCCCGAGGUUAGGCCUAAAAAGUCAAAAAAAGAAAAAAAAAAGUUUAACAUAGAAUGAUACUAUUUGUAUAUAAAAUUACACGUGACCACUAAAAAUAAGACAUAUUUCACUAAAAAAUAAAUUCAUUUACAUAGAAAUAUAAAAUAUUCUCUCAAAUUUUCAUUCUAAAUAAUGUGUCAUAUGAUGUUCAUUCAUUAAAUUGUUAAUUAUUUUUCAUAAAUUUUAAGCGAAUUAAUUGUAUUAUCUCAUCAAACAAUGAAUGAAUGUCAAAUUAAUUGAGGUAAAAUUUUGUGAUGUAUAGCACUACUCUAUUUAAUUUUAUCCAUAUGUACAAGUUAACAGAGCUUGAGUUUUUAGGGUAAUGGCUCACAUUUCUCAUUCAUUAGUAUAAUCAGAGACUAACAAAAUAUUGUUACAGAUCUUGAGAACUAGUGUUGUGAUUUUUAUAGUUGAGAAAAGAUAGAAAAAUACAAAAUUAAAAAAUAUUUGAAUAAAUAAUAGUUACAGCUAAGGAUAAUAAUUUGCUGUUAUGCUCCCUAAAGACGGAGCUUGGGAGAGAAGUCCAAUCUUGACCUUGAGAGUGAGAAAACGGGCUCAUGGAAGAGGCUUGGUGAGAGCUUCAGCUAUCUGAUAUGCAGAAGACACAUGAGUAACAUGAAGAGCACCACGUUGGACUCUAUCUCUUAUGAAAUGAAAGUCAAUAGCAACAUGCUUCAUUCUUGAACGAAAAAAUGGGACUAUAACAGAGUUGAUUGGCCCCAGUAUUAUCACUCAGUAUAUAUCAUUGUACAACAGAAAAUGCUAACACCAAGAUCAAAUAAGAGAUAGCAAACCCAAUUUAGAUCCAUCAAUAAAACCAAAUAGAUCAUAGCCAAUGAAUAAGAUAUUAAAUUGCAACUUUCAUGAGAUGUAGUUACUGGAUGUGAGUUUAAGAGGAGUUUGAGCUAACAUAAGGGGUUCGGGCUGAUCAAACAUCAUUUUCCAAUUCUAUUACUCGACUCGUGACAUGACAGUGCUGAGCUAGCAACUUACUAGAGCUAACAGUGAUUUAGUUACACGCUGAAUAGACUUGAAACAGGGGUUUAAAAGCUGGUGACCAGUGCACAUUUCUAAGCAAUUUUCUUGUUAUUGAGUGAGAUUAAAGAAGAUUGCAAACCGGGCAUUUGUUCUCUGAGGAGUGUAUAAUGUAAUCUUUAGUUGACAUUCCUUGAUGAAACAUGCUUAUUGUCACGGGAUAAAUAUUUUGCGCAGCAACUCAUGUGGUACUUAAAUAACUUUUAGAACAAAAAUUGUUAAGUAAGCUUAGAGAAUUUCUCAAGCUAGCCAAACAAGGAUACUUGAGAGAAAGCUAGAGAGAGGAGAGAAAUAUGGCCAAAGUAAAUUUUAUUACUCGAAAGAGAGAAUAUAAGAGAGCUUUACAAUAAUGCUUGAGUUGUUUGCUUAGUGUGUUGUGUGUGGUGUGGUGUUUAGUGUUGUGGUGUUAAGAAAAAUGGUUGACGUCAUGCCUUAUUUAUAGAGUGACUCACCUAGGUCUAGAUGGUUCCAUGCAAGUUUUUGUAAGUUGCCUAAAAAUCUAUUAGAUUCUAGAAUACGUAAGUAUAUAAUUAUUUAGACAAUAUAAGUUGCAGAGAUUUAUAAAGAGUUCUAGAAUCAGGCUGGACUCACUCACUUUAGUUUGUGAAUUUACGAGUACACCACGGGUCGCUAAUUAUAUGAGGUAGCUCACUGUUGACCAUACUCUACUGCUAAGCGCAUCCUAUCUUUGAGCGGACUUUUAUUGAGGAAACCCUUGUGCGUCAAUUUAGUCUCCGUGACAAACUUGAGUAGGCCGUGAGCGUGACAUUACGUUGUUUUCUCUCUUGGAUGUAGGCAACCUUACCAAGCCACGUAUAUUGUCCUCAGUGUUCUUGAUUUUACUUUGCGUUGUUAAUUUAUCAUGAGGACAAGACUAAAUAACAAAAGUUUUAAGCACAAAAAAAUGGGAGCCUGUAAGUUACAAUAAUUGUAACAUACAUCUUUCAUGUGAACCACACAAAAUUAUAGGACCCACAGUUUGUGUGGUUCACAUGAGGAAUGUAUGUUACAAUUAUUGUAACUUAGCAUUUGCCCAAAAAAAUAGAAGAAAGGGAAGAUACGCAACCUUGUGCAGAGCAGGCCAGCACAUCUCUUCUUGUUCUGGCUUUCUGAGGUGGAUGGCCCCACUACAAUAAUUUUUAAUAUUUUAAAGAAAAAGGAGCCCAACAAUUUUUACAAAAACCCCCCAAUGGUCCACCGUCUAACUUUAACAUAAAGAUUUAUUUUUAUCAACAAAAAAAAGAUAAAGAUUUAUUAAAAAAAAAUUGUAAGAGUGAAGUAACUGUUCUGAGUUUUAUUGUGGAUUUCAUCUAACCCAAUUUUAUGAAUUGUUUGAAUUCCAUAAACUUCCGCUAGUGGUUCAUAUAUAUGGCGGAGGCUUUUGCAUCUAUUCUGCCUUUCAUCCUACUUACCAUAAAGUUAUUGCAGUCUUCUUUGACCAUCGACGAGCUCCUGAGAAUCAUGUCCUUUGUGCUCGUGAAGAUUCAUGGGCUGCACUCAAAUGGGUUGCUUCCCAUACUAAUGGACAAGGUCUUAUGGAUUGGCUUAACCAUUAUGCUAGUUAAAUGAAGUGAUUUAGGAAUCACAAGUCAAAAGAGAGGCAAAUUAAUUCCAUAUAAAUAUGGCCAAAUUUUUAAUUUUGAAAAAAAAAAAAGUAAAGUCCGGAUUUUUGAGACUUUAAAUGCGUUUGAGUAAACAAUUGGAAGAACCAAACCUCUAAAUUGAUUUAAAAAUUUUUGAACCCACUGCCCAAAUCUAAAUUCUUAGAUCCGCCACUUCUUAAUGAAGCUAGCUUAGGCUUUUUUUCUCUUCUUAUAUAAGCAACCUUAUCAAGCCGCAUAAAUUGUUCGUGCAGAUUGUUCUCGAUUUGAUAUAAUUUGCUUGUCUCUUUAAUCUUUCAUUGAUUUUGCCCAUCUCUUUGAUCUUUCAUUCGUUAGUCUUGUUCUUAAUUAACGUUAAAAGUCCUUAUAACGAAACAAUGUCCGUAUUGGAGAAGACAGCAUUUGGGGAAUCCAUUGAUGCUGAAACUUUAUCGGUGCCAAAGAACCCUUCCCCAUGCCCAUCUGUAUGCACGAAAACAUGGAAGAAACUCAUGUGCAAGUGCUCUUGAUUUUGAAUCCAUUGUUGCAAUAUGAUUAGAGUCAUAAUAUAGUUAUAAAUUCUUGUAUAAAUUUAUUUUAUACAAAUUGACGUAACAUUAAUUCAUUAGUUAAAUGAAAAUAUAAAAUAAUAAAAAUAAAUCAUAUGGGGCAAGUGAUAUUUAAUUCAAUUAAUUUUAUCAUAGUAUAUCAAUUUGUAUAAAAUAAAUUUGUAUAAAACUUUCUGACUAUUAUAUAAAGAGUAGCAGUACAAAGACAUUAUGAAAAAUUGCUUAAAAAAAAAUAUUUUGACAGUUUUAUUUCUUUGGUUGGUGAUUUCGUGCUUUCUGGGACAGAAAAAGGGCCAAGUUUGGUCGUGUUUGUCAUAAAACUUCUUUGCUUUUAUCGGAAAAAUUGUAAAAUGAAACAAAGCCACGCAAAACCGGCUGUACAAUAGUAUCACGGUUCCCAAUGGACAUCCACGCGGUCCAUCAUAUGACUUCACAUCCCGCUUUUUCUUUAAAAAAGUUCCUAGCUAGAAGGAAAAAAAAAAUAAUUAUAAAAUAAAAAAUAAUAAUAUAUAAUAAAUAUAAUUUUUAAAUAAUAAUUUUAAUAAAAUUAGUAAUGAUAUAAUAAUUUUUGAUUAUUCAAAUAUAAAAUUAAAUUACCUUAACUUUCAAGUUAUAAUAAAUAGUAUUUACCAAAUACUUAAUAUUAUACAUUUUAACUUACAACUAUCCAACCUUAAUUUUAAAUAAGACAUUACUCUCAAAAACCAAUUCUUAAAAUAUGAGUGUCUAUGAAUUUCACUUAUACUAUCAUCUACUAUUUAAAUUGUUAUAUUUAGCUCAUGCGGGGUAGGACUUAGGAUCCCUAUCUAUUUAAGAAAGAUUUGACAUAAAUAUAUAUAAUGUUUAUAAAUCAUAAUGUCGAUUUUAAAAUCAUGGCAAUUUAAUUUCUAAAAUAGUGCAAUUAACUAUCCAUUGAAGCAAACUUUGCCACCUUAAAUUUUUUAUUGCAAAAAUCUGUAAGAAAUCGAAUUGAAUUGAAUUACAAAAUUGGGAUGAUGAUAGCGGCUAGAACAUGAAAGCCAAGCAUCUCCCGUUUUUGCUAAGGAAAUUCAUUCGGUAAUUGGCUAUGUGUCCAGUUGUGAGUUUCGUGACACUUUUCCAUCAGACUUUUAAUGGAUAAAAGAAAAAAACUUUUGACAAUAAUAGUGGGCUUUACGUUAAUUAAUAGAAGAAUAUGAGUAUUUAAGGGUCUGUUCGGUAACGUGUUAUGGGCUCUAUUUUCAUUUUCCUUUUAUGAAUCUAAGUUAAUACAUGUUUGAUGGUUGAAAUUUUAAAAAAAAUUGUAAAACAAAAAAGCUGAGAUUCACUUUUAUAACUAUUAAAGUGAGAACAUGUCACGUAUUACAAAACUAAACUAAAAAUAAAUUAAAAAAUAAAAUCUAAAAGUCUCGGCCUUCUCUCUUUAUCCUUAUUUCUUUGUCCAAUAGUGCUGACUCUCGCUCCUUAUCCCUCUCGAUUUACUAACAGUGGCGAUUAUUCUCUCUCGGUGUGCCCAAAUCAGCUGUUGUACUCCAUCUUUGUUGCCGCUGCUAAUUCCCCUCAACCAUUGUUGUUCCUCCGUCUCCGCCGCUGCUGCUCCAUCUCGACUAUCUCGUUUGUUGUUGCUCCUCUCUCGACUCCAUCUCUGCUAUUGUGAGUUAUUGGUAUUUAUUUAGGGUACUUAUCCACCAUCCACUUUUUUUUUUCAUACUUUUUCAAAAAUACACAAAUCUUAAUUUUUUUUGCUGAGCUCCACUUGAAGUUUUAUUUUUUUAUAUAUGUCCGCUGCCAUCUUCAAACCGUUAAGAAAACUAACGGAAUAUUGUCCAAAUUAAGUUUUUGAAGCAUAGGUGAAAUUAUUAUAAUACCCUUAUGAUGUCAGAAAAUUCUUAACGGUUUAAAGACAACAGUGGACAUAUGCAAAAAAUUAUAACUUCAAGUGGAGCUUAGUAAAAAAAAAUUAAGAAUUGUAUAUUUUUAAAAAAGUGUGAAAAAAUAGGUGGACGGUGGAUAAUUACCCUUUUUUGUAUUUGAGUAAAUUUUUACUAUUAUUAUCAUACUAUUUUGUUUUGUGAUCAUGAUCAUGAAAUAAAAAUUGUGGAUAAUAAAGUCCGAGCCUGACCCGACAAUAUAAAUAAAGGACCCGAACCCGAUAAAAAACUUGAAUUUUCACUUUCGGAGACCAACCAUAAUAUUUUUUUAAUAUUUAAAUAUUUUAAAUUUACCUCCCCUAAUAUAUUCAAAUUAAAUAUAAAAAUUACUCCAAUCAAUAUCUCAACUAUAAAAUCAUAUAAAUAACUAAACAUAAAAAAAAAAUCAUGUCUAAUUCAAAUAAAGUCACACAAUUCAAAUUAAAACACACUUUUUUUUUACUAUUAAGUAAUCGGGUCGAGUCGGGUUGGGUCGGCUAAUUAUUGAGUAAUCGGGUAGAGUCGAGUCAGAGUUCAGGCUUUUGAUCGGGCUUUUAUUUUUAAGCCUAAGCUCGAAUUUUGACCCUUAACUUCGGGUCAAAACCCAAAAAAAUCGAGCUGGAUCAAUUGGACCAAAAUUCAAGUCGGGGUUUUUGGCCAUCUCUAAGGUGAUUGUAUUGCUAGCCAAGAUUUCAUCAAUUCUAUUCUAGGAGUUGGACCAUAAAAUAGGGACCGAUUAAAUAUUUAUUUUGUAAAUAUGAUUUUGUUGUUCUUAUUUGGAAUUGGUUGUCUUUUUGUGUUGGAAAAUCAUGCAAAGGCAUAUUAUUUACCAUUUUGAGGCGGAGUUUCACAGCAAAGCAUGUGGGUGUUGUGAGUUAUUGACAGUAAUGGUUGUUCUUGUCUAAUUCCAUUGUCAUUUCAUUUAUUUAUUAGGGACCAAAAGCAUAUUAAUGCAAAAAUUGUAGAGAUUAGCGUGAACUGAUUGUAAUAAUAUCAUGUUGUAUUCAUUUAGAUGCGAUUGGUUUAGUGUACAUUACCUUGAUUUCAUUUUUCUUAAAUUUUUGUUGUGCUGUGAAAAAAUGAGUUAAAGAUAAAAACUUUUGACAAGAGCUUGGUCUUAAUUUGAAUUGAUCAAUUUGUAGUAGAAUACAUUUUAUUUUGAUAUGUUCAAAUUUUAAUCUAUGACACAUUACUAAAAUGACUUUCAUGCUAUGUUGAAUUUGAUUAACUCCAAAAGUCUGAGCUAUGUAUGUGUAGGAGCAGUUUCUUUAAUUUAAUUAAUAUUUGAUAUAUGUGAUUUUUUUAAAAUUUUUUAGUAACACGAUAUGGAUCCACAGGAUGUUGAUUGGUGAACAUAAUUAUAGUUUACGUAAGCAACGUCUAAUUCCAAUUUCAUGUUGCGUUUUACAUAAUUUUAUUCAACAAAAAAAUGUCAGUGACAGGUUGUUUGAGGACUUUGAUGUAUAAGAUAUGGUUACAAAUGAAGGAGAUAUUAGAAGGCCACUUACUACUAUUAAGUGUUGUAGAGAUGAAUGCUACAAAAGAUAAAAUUGCAUUUUAUGCGGCAUGAUUACACACGUAAUGCAUGAUGCCUAUCAUCUAAUUUUUAUAAUUAUUUUGUUUAAAUCAUAUGUGUUAUAAUAUAUAUCUUAAUUAUAGUGUAAAACAAUGAUAAUAUAAAACUUUUUUUAUUAAUGCUAAUAUUAAAAAUUUAUCAUCAUGUAAUUUUUUAUAAUUAUUUUUAUUUAAAUUAUUUAUGGUAUGUUUGGGUAUAUAUUAGUUGAAUAAUUAUUUUCUAACUACAUGUAUGACUUAAAUAUUUUAUAAAAAAUAUUUUUUAAAAUGGUACUACCGAAUACUUAUUCAUUGUUUUUAUCAUUUUCAAUUGUGUCUACCAAAUGCAUAUUACUGUUUGUAGUUUUAAAAUACAUGAUGCAGAAAAAAUUAUACUAGAUGUGUACUAAAAUUCGAAAUACAGCAACUGCAAAACACUAUCUUCAUUCUCAUUUUUGUUUUCAUAAAAUACAAAUUUGGAAACAAUACUAAUAGCCCCUAAAUAAUUUGUGCUGUGGUCAUGUUGGUCAGCCAAUAGUGAUUUUUCAUCGUGGAAAUUUUGCGGGUUUUCUAAGAUUAUGCUUUGAUGAAAAAGGAGUGUAAGAUACUGAGAUGCGUUUGAUGUCACUCCAAAACGAAAAGUAACUCAAUCUAGAUUUGGAUUAGAGGAGUCUCCAAAUCCAAGACACUAUAAAUGUGAAUGGAUGCCUUCAGAAUUAAACUGAGUGUGUUUAGGUUGAGUUCAGUUCACCUACAAUUCCAUUCGAGCUCAUUAAUAUCACUAAAAAAUGAAUAAUGAUGAAGCAGUGUUUGGAUUUGUUUGGACGUGUUCGGAUUUGGUUUUCCCAUCACUGUUGCCGUAGACAUGCUCUAUUCCAUCACCAAUGAUGUAUUCCUUCCCCGUACUUCGUCACCAUCACCGACAAUGAUAAUGUUGUGAAACUAAGUUUUGGUUUGUUAAGGUAGAGAACAAAGGGAAUAGGGAUCGUGAAAUGUAGGGGGAGUUUUAGUCCAAAAGGAUAUUGUUUGGCUAAUUAUGAUAAAUAUAAUUUUGUGGGGUUAAUUUUAAAAAAUCCGGAAUUUUUUGGGAUAUUUUUAUAAAUUUUCCUAGAUUUCUCCCUAAUAAUUGUGAGGAUAACUUUUCAAACUAUUGCUCAACAGAUUUACAUAUCGACAAAACAUUGUGAACAAAUAGAAUAUAAUGAAUUUGAAAAAUAAGCAAAUGCUUGCCUAGAACAAGGUAAAAGAACCCAACCCAAUUGGCAUCUUUAACGAUACUCCUAGUUUAUGAAGCGAGGAAUCAACCGUUACUUUUUUCCUUUUUAGGGAUAAUUGCAGAUUAUCUCCUCAUUAAUUUACUAUCUUCAAAUCUCCCAUUAUUUUUAAAAACCUUAGUUUAUCUUAUAUUUUGUUAAGAAGACCAAAAAAAAAAAAAAAUCAUCAACUCAACCUCAUUAUUCUCUUACAUUUUGAAUAAAAUAGGUUAAUUUAAGAUUGUAAACAAUAAAAUAAUAAUUUAAGGAUACUCAAUUUACAAAGAGAUAGUUUACUUUAUAUAUGUAUACUCAUUCUAUAAUGCAGGUGUCAUCCUAAUUUUUUUUUUUUCAUGCGAACACACUUUUAAACCAUAGGAUUUACUAGAGUUAAGAUCUCAACUCUUAAACUGCAUGGUUUUAUAAUUCAUUCAUAAAUAAGUUUAUAAAACCACAUGAUUUAAGAACAUAUCCGUAUUAGGGCGCCCGCAGAAUGAUUAUAUAUCUAUAUACACACACACACACACACAAAAUAUGUUCUCAAGCCAACACCAUUUUGCAUUCUUUUAUGUUUUUGUACAAUGAAAAAUUGAUUGGUGAAAAACAAUAUCAAACGCAUCCUUAAUUUCCUUCUAGAUCUCUCUCUCUUUACUAACAUUUGCAUUCUCAGAUCUAUUUGCUUUUCUCUUCUGUUUCGCUCUUGGUAUGCAAAAUGAUUCAAACUGUCAAGCCAUGUGUGGCUUUUUAUUGGGUAGUACUCUAAAGGCGCAAGAACAUGUGUUACAAAAGGACUGCUUGUAAUAUUCAAAAUUCCGUAGUUGCAGCCAAAUGUCUUUUUUGAGGCAUUUCAUCAAACAUUUAGUUACUUUCAUCAAACACCUAGUUAAACUAUAUUUCUCUUAUAAAUUAUAAUACCGGGUAUACAUAUUUUUUCAAAUUCAUAAUAAAAAUUUGUACAAAUCGAUUCGAGAUGAUUAGUUUCUGUAAUUCAAAGUAAAGAUAAGCUUUGAGAUUGGAGCGAGAGUACAAGAGGCGAAAACAACCCAUAUAAAUUCGAAUUCAAGCAUUGUCGUGGCUAAAGAAAGCAGCAGUUAUCUUGAGCAUAGACACAGCAUUUUCGCAAUAUGGAUUGCGCAAAUGGAACGCAUGCAACUCUUCUUGAGACUCAACAAUCUCCACAUCGCCUUUCCACCCACUCUCCUUCAACUUCUUACAAUAAAACCAUCCCCUAUAUCUUAGCAUAUCCUCCUCCGCAACAAAAACCAGCAUUCUGGCGCAUCCCUGCUGGCUCGCUAGGUUCGAACCAACCGCUGGAUUAAUCAAUGGAUCAUCGCAGUCAAUCAUGCUAGGAUAAACAAAUUGCCACAUUGCCUCACGCAAUUCUCUUGUUUUAACAUCAGUUGUCUCGUCAGGAAUAGGAUCCUUGCCCCAGAAGGAUGGAUGAGUUAAAACAAUCCCAAUCGUCGAGAAUUUCUUGACAAUGUCUUACUCCCAUGUGGUGAGCUAUAUUAGCGCCAGAACUGUCACCAGCGAAAAACACUCUCUGAAAGUCAGCAUAAUGGUUAAGCCAAUCUUCCGGGCCAUCCCCAUCAACAUGGGAAGCAACCCAUUUGAUUGCAGUCCGUGAAUCGUCGUGAGCACAGGGGACCGGAUUCUUCGGGGCUCUCCGAUAAUCAACCGAGACUGCUAUGAUGUUAGCUUCAGAAACUAAGUUGUUGAGGUAAUUAUUGUAAGUAGAAGAAAAGGCAGUGUGGACGCAGAAGCCUCCACCGUGAAAAUAAACCACAAGAAGAAGUUUUUGGUUUUGAUCUUUUGUGUUUUUCGGAAUGUAAAGACGAGCGGAUAGAGUAUUUUCAGGUAAAUACAAAACGUCUCUGGAAUCAACGUUUGUUUUUGGAUCAAAUGAUGGAGGAACGAUGUCAUUGCCCACAAGCCUCUCUAUUGUGCCAUCUUUGUAUAUUAUCAUCAUAGGAGAGAAAUCGUGGGCGAUUUCUGAUAAUGGCUCUGUGGAACCCAUUGAAGCAGAAAAUGUCGGCAGAGCGCCGGCAAGCCUGAAUUAGCCUUUCUAAUAAAAUAUUACUAGCAACAGCCAACAAAGAUCUUGCUCAAGUUAGGUCUCAUAUACGCGUCAAUGAUAUUACUAGGCUGCUGACAGGGCACAGAUGAGCUAGCAGCUUAGUGUGGUUACCAACUGAACAGAAUUGAAACAGUUGUUUCUGAGAAAUUUUCUUGCAACUUAGAGAGAGUUAGCCAAGAUUGUAAACAUGGGAUUUGUUCUUUGCAGAGUGCUGAGUGUAAUCUUUUAAUCGGCAUCUGUUAAUGAUGCUUGCCGUGGUUGUUUUCUCUUGCAGAUAUAAGCAAGCUUGUCAAGCCACAUAAAUUGCUCUUGUGAUGUUCUUGAUUUGAUUUUGCAUGUCCCUAUGAUCUCAUUGAUUAAUCUUUAGAUUUAGAUCCUGAAUUCUUUCUUGAUCUCUUCUUGAUUUGAUAAUCACAUUGAAUUGGAUCCAACAGUAACAAUGGCUCCUACAAUUAAACUCUAUUCAUUUUCUUUCCUUAUUGUUCUUAAGGUAAGGUACACAAUAUCACUUGUAAAUUAUACACCCAUCGAUGGAGUAUUUGAAUGUUCUUAUAUAUACAUCUAUGAAAUUUCUGAUAAAAGAAAUGAUGUCCAUAAUGUGAAACCGAAGAGAAAUAUGAUGCUGAACAACAUUAAAUUUAAGAGUACACAGAUUACUAAGUUCCUGGUGAUCACAUCAGAAAACAUUAUCUUGAUUUAGGAAUGAAGCUAAUUUAUCCAUCAAGGCCACAGCCUUUUCAGAAUCUGGAUUGAACAAAUGAAACACAUGAUCCUCUCCUUCUGUCUCCACAAUCUCAAUUUCUCCAGCCCACCCACAAUUUUUCAAAGUCUCAUAAUAAAGCAAUCCCCUAUCUCUCAAAUUAUCCUUCUCGGCAACACAAACGAGAACCCUGGGACACCUCAGGCUCAUUAGCCUAGAGUCAGCAGCUGGGUUUAUUCUCACAUCAUUGUACCCACUUGUAUUUGGACAUACAAAUACCCAACACUUAUCAACAACUUCAUCAUUUCUCCCAAAAUAUGGCUGAACCAAGCAAAUUCCUGCCAGUUUUAUCCCAUUUAAGUCUUCAAAACUCGCUUGAACGACCAUGUUGUGCACAAUAUUGCCACCAGCACUGUCACCGGCGAGAAAAACACGAGCAAAAUCAGCAUGAUCGUUUAACCAAGCUUCAUAGCCAUGACCAUUGAUAUUAAAAGGAUAAGCUACCCAUUUUAGGCUCUCUCUCUGUAGUACCUAUCCUUCUUCUAACAAUGGAGCGAGCCGCGUUGCUUCGUUCUCUCUCUUGUACUUCCCUCGCUUCCAACAGAUUCUACUUUCGCUCUUUCGUACCUCGCGCCAAAUUUUCAUCAUCAUCAGUUGCUGUUGCGAGGAGGAAUCACCACCGUCUGAUCAACAACCUCACCAGGCGCUCCCUCCUCCGCGGCGACAGCAGAUUACACCUCUCCUUAUCCUCUUACUCUCUUCCAUUCAACAAACACUUCUCCUCUCUCUCUCCUAACGCCGUCGCCUCUCCUUCCACUCCCUCAUCUCCAGGUGCAAAUUUGUCGUUUCACUCUUUCUAAAUUUCAGCUCUUUUCCCGUUAUUUAUUUAAUUAAUCUCCUACGUUUAAUUAAGCAGUAAUUUUAUUGGUUCAUUGAAUGAUUACCGGCAAAAAAAAAAACACUUAUUUUCAAUUCUUGUAAAUUUGUGUUUGUUAAUCGUUAGAAAUGAUCUAUUAUUUGGAAAAAAAAAUUGAAACUCCUCUUUUAAGUUAUUGUGAUUGGUGUGUUGAAUUGAGCUCUGUGAUUGGUUUUCUUUGUGUGUGUAGAGGUUGCUGAAGUCAGCAAUGAAGUGGCGGAGAAGCUUGGAUUCGAGAAGGUUUCGGAAGAGUUCAUUGGAGAGUGUAAAUCAAAGGCUGUGCUUUUCAAGCACAAGAAAACCGGUGCUGAGGUCAUGUCUGUAUCCAACGAUGAUGAGAACAAGGUCUUCGGCAUUGUCUUUCGAACUCCUCCGUAAGUAUUGUAAAUGUACUCUGUCUCACUGUUUGAUAUCGUCUUUUUAUUUUCUCUUUUCAUUUUAUUUGAUUAUAUUAAUUUAAAUCAGAUACAUUGUUAGAUAUUAUCAUUGAAAUGCUAAGAAUACAAGAAAAUAAUUUUCAGGCAGUUAUAGUUUUCUGGACAACGAGACACCAUUGCCUCACGCCAUUCUCUUGUUUUAACACCAGUUGUCUAGUCAGGAAUAGGAUCCUUGCCCCAUUGCCUCACGCCAUUCUCUUGUUUUAACACCAGUUGUCUAGUCAGGAAUAGGAUCCUUGCCCCAUUGCCUCACGCCAUUCUCUUGUUUUAACACCAGUUGUCUAGUCAGGAAUAGGAUCCUUGCCCCAUUGCCUCACGCCAUUCUCUUGUUUUAACACCAGUUGUCUAGUCAGGAAUAGGAUCCUUGCCCCAGAAGGAUGGAUGAGUUAAAACAAUCCCAAUCGUCGAGAAUUUCUUGACAAUGUCUUACUCCCAUGUGGUGAGCUAUAUUAGCGCCAGAACUGUCACCAGCGAAAAACACUCUCUGAAAGUCAGCAUAAUGGUUAAGCCAAUCUUCCGGGCCAUCCCCAUCAACAUGGGAAGCAACCCAUUUGAUUGCAGUCCGUGAAUCGUCGUGAGCACAGGGGACCGGAUUCUUCGGGGCUCUCCGAUAAUCAACCGAGACUGCUAUGAUGUUAGCUUCAGAAACUAAGUUGUUGAGGUAAUUAUUGUAAGUAGAAGAACAGGCAGUGUGGACGCAGAAGCCUCCACCGUGAAAAUAAACCACAAGAAGAAGUUUUUGGUUUUGAUCUUUUGUGUUUUUCGGAAUGUAAAGACGAGCGGAUAGAGUAUUUUCAGGUAAAUACAAAACGUCUCUGGAAUCAACGUUUGUUUUUGGAUCAAAUGAUGGAGGAACGAUGUCAUUGCCCACAAGCCUCUCUAUUGUGCCAUCUUUGUAUAUUAUCAUCAUAGGAGAGAAAUCGUGGGCGAUUUCUGAUAAUGGCUCUGUGGAACCCAUUGAAGCAGAAAAUGUCGGCAGAGCGCCGGCAAGCCUGAAUUAGCCUUUCUAAUAAAAUAUUACUAGCAACAGCCAACAAAGAUCUUGCUCAAGUUAGGUCUCAUAUACGCGUCAAUGAUAUUACUAGGCUGCUGACAGGGCACAGAUGAGCUAGCAGCUUAGUGUGGUUACCAACUGAACAGAAUUGAAACAGUUGUUUCUGAGAAAUUUUCUUGCAACUUAGAGAGAGUUAGCCAAGAUUGUAAACAUGGGAUUUGUUCUUUGCAGAGUGCUGAGUGUAAUCUUUUAAUCGGCAUCUGUUAAUGAUGCUUGCCGUGGUUGUUUUCUCUUGCAGAUAUAAGCAAGCUUGUCAAGCCACAUAAAUUGCUCUUGUGAUGUUCUUGAUUUGAUUUUGCAUGUCCCUAUGAUCUCAUUGAUUAAUCUUUAGAUUUAGAUCCUGAAUUCUUUCUUGAUCUCUUCUUGAUUUGAUAAUCACAUUGAAUUGGAUCCAACAGUAACAAUGGCUCCUACAAUUAAACUCUAUUCAUUUUCUUUCCUUAUUGUUCUUAUGGUAAGGUACACAAUAUCACUUGUAAAUUAUACACACAUCAAUGGGGUAUUUGAAUGUUCUUAUAUAGACAUUAAUACAUAUAUGAAAUUGCUGGUAAAAGAAAUGAUGUCCAUAAUGUGAAACCAAAGAGAAAUAUGAUGCUGAACAACAUUAAAUCAAGAGUACGCACAUUACUAAGUUCCUGGUGAUCGCAUCAGAAAACAUUAUCUUGAUUUAGGAAUGAAGCUAAUUUAUCCAUCAAGGCCACAGCCUUUUCAGAAUCUGGAUUGAACAAGUGAAACACAUGAUCCUCUCCUUCUGUCUCCACAAUCUCAAUUUCUCCAGCCCAAACCACAAUUUUUCAAAGUCUCAUAAUAAAGCAAUCCCCUAUCUCUCAAAUUAUCCUUCUCGGCAACACAAACGAGAACCCUGGGACACCUCAGGCUCAUUAGCCUAGAGUCAGCAGCUGGGUUUAUUCUCACAUCAUUGUACCCACUUGUAUUUGGACAUACAAAUACCCAACACUUAUCAACAACUUCAUCAUUUCUCCCAAAAUAUGGCUGAACCAAGCAAAUUCCUGCCAGUUUUAUCCCAUUUAAGUCUUCAAAACUCGCUUGAACGACCAUGUUGUGCACAAUAUUGCCACCAGCACUGUCACCGGCGAGAAAAACACGAGCAAAAUCAGCAUGAUCGUUUAACCAAGCUUCAUAGCCAUGACCAUUGAUAUUAAAAUGAUAAGCUACCCAAGUGAGGACAGCCCAUGAGUCUUCAUAAGCAGCAGGGACCAAGUGUUCAGGGGCUAAUCUGUAAUCAACUGAGACUACAAUAACAUUUGCUUUGGCCGAAAGAGAGCCUACAUAGUUGUGGUACGUGGAACAAAAUGGUGAGCCCAUAAAGAAGCCCCCGCCGUGAUAAUAGACGAGGAGAGGGAGCUUUUGGUUUGUUUUAAUGGCGGCUGAAGGGAUGAAGAUUCUUGCUGAUACGCCUUUCUCUGGCACAAUAACUACAUCUUUGGAGAAGACAGCAUUUGAGGAAUCCAUUGAUGCUGGAACUUUAUCGCUCCCAAAGAAUCUCUCCACAUGCCCAUCUCUGUAUGCACGAAAAUAUGGAAGAAACUCAUGUGCAAUUGCUCUUGUUUUUGAAUCCAUUAUUGCUUGUUGCAUAUUAUUAAUUCUAGUGAUGAUGAUUAAAUAACGAGAGUAACAGUAGUAAGAUAUAUUGCCAGUAAUCGUUUCUUUGGUUUGCGAGCAAGAUUAAAGUGUGGUCAUUGGUUUCUUUUUUUUCCUCCGAGACAAAAAUGGGGCUAAAGUUUGGUCGUUCUUUGUAUUAAGAUAGUGGAAUAAAAAAGGAUAAAUUUCCAGCUAUCCCAUCAAUUCAUUUCCUACAUAUCGCAAUUUUACCCCAUAAAAAACAUCUUUUUUUUUUUUUUUAAUGAAAAAAAGGGAAAGUUUCGUGGUGCUUUCUCAUGUAGUUGUUCAAAAAGGUUUGAUACAAAACAUUUUGUUUUGUUUUUUAAUAAAAAAGAAAAUAUAAAACCAACUAAGUGUCGUUCGUAUAAUUGAAUAUCAUGAACAAGUUAAAAUCCCAUGGCUAUAGUUCAUGUGGGAUUUAAAGUUCCUCUCAAUACACAAAUGAACAAUAAGACCUCGUAGAUAGAACUCACUUUUAAAAAUUGGUUUAUAAAAGAAUUGAGUUCGCGAGUUUUAUAUAUUCAUUUAAAUUGUCAUAUUUUUUAGUUCAUGUACGCCAUGCGGAACAUAAGAUCCUAACAUAUAUCUUAUCGUAUUGAAAAAAUAUUAUAUUUGGUCCAAAAUCCAAUGCAUAUCCAAUAUUCACUUGUCUAUGCAUAUCCAACAUUUUCUUGUGCACAUGCAUGUCAAAAUGUUGCCAUUCUGAUAGUAAGUUGAAUGAUAAGGUCUUAAUUCAAGUUGUUCUGUACACUAGCAUCUUAAUUGCACUUUCUCUGUCACAGAGUAUUUGAAUAUGUUUGAAGCAAGUUCAGCCCCCAAAUGAAUCAAUAGUUGAAAAACAGAAACUAUUUUCAGAACCAGUCAGGAUUAUUGAGAAAUACCCUGCUGGUGAUGCUGGUGAUAUUAAGAAGAAGAACAUGGUAUGCCUUAAUUGGUUGCUCUCAGAUAAGCCCUUAGACUUGGAAACGGAACUUGCCCUUGGGUUCUUGGAUCAUCUUAUGCUGGGAACUCCUGCUUCUCCCUUGAGGAAAAUUUUACUAGAAAGUGGUCUUGGAGAUGCCAUUGUUGGUGGUGGGAUUGAAGAUGAACUCCUUCAGCCUCAAUUUAGUAUCGGAUUGAAGAAUGUUUCUGAAGAUGACACUCAAAAGGUAGAAGAAUUAAUCAUGGAUACACUAAAAAAACUAGCAGACGAAGGUUUUUUUCAGAAUAUUUCAUAUUUUCUAUCUAGCAAGCCUUGCUUUGCUCCCACGACUCCAACGAAUACGUUGGGUCUAAGUCUUUUACCAUAGUAAGUCUAUAAUUCCGAGGUGCCAUAAGCAGGUGUACAUCCGAGGACAACUCAAAUUUAGAGUCUUAAGUUUCUUAUCCUACAUUAAAACUUCUCUUGAUCUAAACUUUUAUUUGCUAUUAAAUACCUAACAUACAUUCAAUUUGAAUUUUACACUAUUCUUUUAUUAUUAGAUAGCAAUUUUUUAUGUGGAAAUAUUCUGUAAGUUGUAAAAGCUAUUGUUAUCAAAAUUAUUUUUUCAUAGUUUAUUUCUUCUGUAUAUCAAAUGCUUAGCUUAUAAUUAUUCAUAACAUAUAAAUAUUACUAUACUAAAUAACCCGGUAAACAUAUACCUAUUUAAACUUCCAAAUGUAUAAUACAUCUAAGGAUAUAAGUAUAAAAUACUAGAUUUAAGAUAUUUUGAGUUUAUAAAAGCAAACAACUUACCACUUAUAUACUUAGGCAUCAAAAAAUGAAAACAGACAAAUGGAUUUAGAUUUGUUUAAACUUCAGUUAAACUAAUUUAAAUUUCAAAUAAAAAGAAUAAAUGUUAUCUUAAUAAAUAGUUAGUUGUUAGUAGGGCAGAUUAUUGAUAAUACCCGUUUUCACCAAAUUUUCAUUAGGAUCUGAUUCGUACUAGUUACCAGAUCAAAUCUGUCUCAAAUAAAUAAAUUUACAUUUGAGGGAGCUUGUGCUAAGUUUGGACUUAGAUGUUUUUUUCUGAUAUUUGUGAUAGGUGGUUUAACUAAGGUACCCUAGGUGGUGAGCCAAAAUAAUAUAUAGGAGUUAAUUUAGGGAGUAACUCAAGUGUCCCACCAAAUACUUAGCGUAGUUAGGGUAGCUCAAGUAUACUCGAGUGAUAGCUCAAGUGUCUCACCAAAUACUUAGUGUAAGUGGGGUACGUCAAGUAUGCUUACACAUGAACAUAAUUACAACUGUAAUUCUGUAAAUUGAAAAUAUAGCAAAAUAAACAUAGAGGCAAUGAACACACAUUGUUUACGUGGUUUAGCCUUUGACCUACGUCCACGGGAGUAAGUAAUCAUCAAUCCAUUAUAACACACAAUGUUUACGUGGUUUGCCAUUUAGCCUACGUCUAUAGGAGCAAGUAAUCACCAAUUCGUUAUAUAAAUGAAAUGUUAUAUAAGAUUCUACAUUAUAAAAGAUGAAUAAAAUAAGCUAGAUAGCUAUAUAGAGAUGUUUAGUCUUGAUAAAGAUGAAGAUGAUUGUUUCAGGUAGAUUUUGGGUGCAAAAGAAAAAAGGAAAACCUAACUAAAAUAAUAAAUUUAUUUUCGGGAUAUAAGGUACCUCACUUAGUUGCAAUUUGUGCGUUGUUUUGUGCAUUUUAAAAAAAUGAAGAAGAGUGAGAAGACAAUGAUAAUGGUGAGAGGUCCAAAUCUGGACUGAAAGAGCUUGAAAGGACACCUUAAACUAGCAAAACAAUAAAAAGGAUAUCAUAGGUGAAGCCGGAAGUGGCCAGUGACCAUGGUUCGAUGCUUAAGUCAGAGUUGGGUUAUCUAGCGUUUGAGAGCUUGUAAGCUCUCUUUAAUGAUUGCUGGAGGUUAGAGAAAACCUUAGUCUUUUAUGUGUGUGUUUGUUGUAUAUCUGAGCAAAAUAAAACUUUAGUGUCUUUCUAUAUAGAGCACCUUGACUACCCUACCACGUGGCAUAUAUUACAGUGGUGAUUUGCUGUCAUUUUCAAGUUUAUUUUAUCCUUUCACCAGUAUCAUGAUUUUGAGCCAUUAGUAGCAUGCUUGAGGAGCAAUAAGGACAUCAUUUGGUAUGGUUUGUUUUCUUGUACACGUGUUGUGCGUUGCAGAGUAGUCUAGGACACCUCUACAAAGGUUGUCUUGACAGCUUCUAUGCGUGGCAGCUAAGGACCACUGUCUUGGUGUGUUUCCUUUUGCUUUUUAUAGGUGUGACAGCAAGCUGCCCCUUCUUUUCUAGCAAGAUAUUUCCUAUUUGAUCUUGUCAAAUCAAAUAUUCUCUUAGGGUGAUGGAGGUAUUUCUCACGGUUGAUAUUUUAGAGACUUUUCUUUACCAUCUUACUUCUAGUAUGGAAUACUCCACGUACCAGCUCAAUUAUCAAGUGUACCCAGUGUAAGUUAGGUACCCUCUGUGAUUAUUUUUAAUCAUAAAAUUUUUCAUCAACACACAGCGCCACAUUAUUGAUCUUCAAUGUCUUCCCCAAACAAUAUCCUUCCUAGUACAGACACCCUUUUAUAAAAAUAAGCAAUGGAGCUAUUGGCACCCCUUUAAAAAUCGUAUCAAACCUUUCAUUUGAGUUAUUUUAUAAAAAAUUUAAUUAAAUGCACCCAUCUUCUUCAAGAAUAUUGGCAGCAAUCAGAUUUGUUGUUUAUGACCCAUAUAUAGAAUUUCAGUUACAAACCAUUCAUUAUCUAUCAUCAAACGAAUUCUUGAAAAGAACAAUUUUAAAUAAAAGACAGACUAAUGUAAAAGAAAAAUGACUCUAAAAGUAUACAAUUGUUUGUGAUAAAAAAGAAAAAGAAAAAAAAUGUCUCAUUCUUGUUCAAAGAAUAAAAAUAUGGAUUUAGUGGUGUGAAAAGAAAUCUCUCCAAAACUGAAUUGGAUAAGUUCAAGCUCUGAACUUGCAGUGUUGAACAAGCGCAAUCAUUAUAAAUUUAAAAUGAAAGAAAAUGCCAUUGAGUUUAGAAGAGUUUCGUAGAGAGAGAUGAGGUUCACUGAAGUUUUCUUGGGAAAAAUAAUUGGAAGGUUAUUUGUGGAAUUAAAUAGAGAUUAUUCUUAAAAGUGGUUGUACGAGGGCAUUCGAGGGAUGGCAAUAGUCCAACCCAAUAUUAAUUUCUGUGUUCAAUUGAUUUUCUGAGAAUUGUCAUACUUUUUUUAAUUAAUAAAUUUCCUUUGAACGGUUGAAGUUGGUAAAUAUAUAUAUAUAUAUAGGGUUCCUCUAUGAUGUUGUAAUUUUUUUACAGCAUCAAUAAUGUUUUUAAUUGUGUACCAUUGGAUUUAAUCAAUGGUACACAAUAUUUGUAGGUAAAAAUAAAAAUAAAAAAUAAUGGUAAACGGUUAACAAACGUGUAAGGGGUGGAGAAGUUUGUGAAAUAACUAUGACCACCCUUAGAGUUUGAAACAAUUUCACUUAAAUAUCACAUUUUAUUUAAAAUUAUUUUUCAGAAUAUAAUGGUAGGUUAUUUAACACAAAUCAAAUAAAUAAGUUGCAAUUGCAAAAUUUAUAUAUGAUAUAACACUAAUAAAUAACACAACAAGUACAUAUAGUUAAGUAAAUGUCAUAGAUACAUCAAUAAACUCAUUGUUGAGAUUGCUUGUAACAUAAAAAUUACUUGAUCACACAUGUUUUAAUAAAAUUUAAUAUUGUAUAUUAAAAUACUCAUUAUUUUAUAUAAUAUUAAGGGCCAUUGUAUAAUUGAUCAUGAAGUAUGUAUCAUUUUUAACACCCAUUUAACAAAUUUAUUUUAUGUACUUUAUAUUUAUCUUACAGUUAAUAUCCUUACAUGGUGGGAGUUUUAAGUUUUAUAAGCUUAUAUAUUUUCAUUACAGCAGAAUUAUAAAAUUUUAUGUUAUGAAGAGUCAUUACUUCUGUUAUGAUAGUUAAUAGUGACAAUAAAUAAAAUAUUGCCUCCGAUAAUAUUUACGUGGGAAAAAAGUGAAAUAAAAUCAUUUAUAUUUUUAAAUUUUUAUUGACAUGGUAGAAAAUUAUCUGAGCCUUAUAAAAUUUAACUUAUAGUAAUUAUAAAAUUUUUAUGUUACAAAGAGUCAUUACUUUUAUUAUGAUAAUUAAUAGUGACAAUAAAUAAAAUAUCACAUCAAAUAAUAUUUAAUGGACAAAAUGAGGAAAAAAAUGAUUGCAUGUUUUUAUAUUUCCAUUAUAACGAUAUAAUUUGGGAUACUUUAACUUAAAAUUUUGACACAAUAUUUGAGCCACUAAUAUAACAUAAUCUAAUGGUUGAUAUUGAAAGUCAAAGCAACAUUUCAUAAUGUUAUAUCCUCUACCAUUGAAUUGCAUGAAAUAAAUAGUUUAAUCUUUUGUUAAAAAUUUAAAUCAAAAUAUUUCUCACUCUAUAGUUAUAUAGACAUAUAUAUUUUUCAAUAAUAAUUGGUGAAUAAAAUAUUUCUCAUUUGUUGUGACUCAUAAUUUUAAAUAAAAUAUGCUAUUUAAGUGAAAUUAUUUCAAACUCUAAGGGUGGUCACAAUUAUUUUACAAAAAUUCUCCACCCACUUGAACGUUAACAAACUGUUUACUAUUAUUUUUAAAUUAUUUUUUUAGUACAAAUAUUAUACACCAUUGAUUAAAUCUAAUGAUUUACAAUUAAUACAUUAUUGAUGCUGUAAAUUUUUUACAGCAUCAUAGAGGAACCCAUAUAUAUAUAUAUAUAUAUAUACCCGUAAAAAUAGCAGCUGACAGAAAAAAAAAAAAAAAGGAAAUUGACAAUUAUAAAUAUAGUUAGAGGCACAUGAAUUCAGGCCUUCUCCUGAUGAUUCAAGAAAGAAGCAGUUCUCUCAAGCAUGGCCACAGCAUUUUCACAUGUGGGAUUUAUCAAAUGGAACACAUAUUGCUCUCCUUUGGACUCAACAAUCUCCACAUUGCCCCUACACCCGCUCUCCUUCAACUUGUCAUAAUAAAACCAUCCUCUAGAUCUCAGAAAAUCAUUCUCCGCAACAAAUACCUGCAUCCUGGCGCAUCCCAGGCUCGCUAGGUCCGAACCCGCAACGGCAGGAUUAAUCCACGGAUCAUCGCACCCACUUGUGCUACUUGGACAAGUCAAUCUCCACAAUCCCGCGACCCAGUCUCUUUUCUUAGCGUCAGCUGUUUCAUUACCAACAGCUUCUCUGCCCAGAAAAUACG
RNAcentral lists this long non-coding RNA (42844 nucleotides) under Citrus sinensis (sweet orange). RNAcentral's name for it is "long non-coding RNA (CSIN_LNC003345)". Lineage: Eukaryota; Viridiplantae; Streptophyta; Magnoliopsida; Sapindales; Rutaceae. The record is from RNAcentral.